AACGAACGCUGGCGGCAUGCCUAACACAUGCAAGUCGAACGAGAUCUUCGGGUCUAGUGGCGCACGGGUGCGUAACGCGUGGGAAUCUGCCCUUUGGUUCGGAAUAACAGUUGGAAACGACUGCUAAUACCGGAUGAUGACGAAAGUCCAAAGAUUUAUCGCCAGAGGAUGAGCCCGCGUAGGAUUAGCUAGUUGGUGUGAUAAAGGCGCACCAAGGCGACGAUCCUUAGCUGGUCUGAGAGGAUGAUCAGCCACACUGGGACUGAGACACGGCCCAGACUCCUACUGGAGGCAGCAGUGGGGAAUAUUGGACAAUGGGCGAAAGCCUGAUCCAGCAAUGCCGCGUGAGUGAUGAAGGCCUUAGGGUUGUAAAGCUCUUUUACCCGGGAUGAUAAUGACAGUACCGGGAGAAUAAGCUCCGGCUAACUCCGUGCCAGCCGCCGCGGUAA
This 449-nucleotide ribosomal RNA is filed under the name uncultured bacterium. Its description in RNAcentral is "partial 16S ribosomal RNA". It matches the Rfam family "Bacterial small subunit ribosomal RNA", at positions 29 to 523 of the family's 1533-position model. The record is from RNAcentral.